ACUGCUCAGUAACACGUGGACAACCUGCCCUUAGGUUGGGUAUAAACCCGGGAAACUGGGUAUAAUACCCGAUAGGUCUCGAUUGCUGGAAUGCGUCGAGAUUUAAAGCUCCGGCGCCUAAGGAUGGGUCUGCGGCCUAUCAGGUAGUAGUGGGUGUAGCGUACCUACUAGCCUACGACGGGUACAGGUUGUGAGAGCAAGAGCCCGGAGAUGGAUUCUGAGACACGAAUCCAGGCCCUACGGGGUGCAGCAGGCGCGAAAACUUUACAAUGCUGGCAACAGCGAUAAGGGAACCUCGAGUGCCAGGUUACAAAUCUGGCUGUCGAGAUGCCUAAAAAGCAUUUCAUAGCAAGGGCCGGGCAAGACCGGUGCCAGCCGCCGCGGUAACACCGGCGGCUCGAGUGGUAACCGUUAUUAUUGGGUCUAAAGGGUCUGUAGCCGGCCGGAUAAGUCUCUUGAGAAAUCUGGCAGCUUAACUGUCAGGCUUUCAGGAGAUACUGUCUGGCUCGAGGCCGGGAGAGGUGAGAGGUACUUCAGGGGUAGGGGUGAAAUCUUGUAAUCCUUGAAGGACCACCAGUGGCGAAGGCGUCUCACCAGAACGGACCUGACGGCAAGGGACGAAAGCUAGGGGCACGAACCGGAUUAGAUACCCGGGUAGUCCUAGCCGUAAACGAUACUCGCUAGGUGUCGGCCACGGUGCGACCGUUGUCGGUGCCGUAGGGAAGCCGUGAAGCGAGCCACCUGGGAAGUACGGCCGCAAGGCUGAAACUUAAAGGAAUUGGCGGGGGAGCAC
RNAcentral lists this ribosomal RNA (793 nucleotides) under uncultured archaeon. Its description in RNAcentral is "bacterial SSU rRNA". It matches the Rfam family "Archaeal small subunit ribosomal RNA", at positions 85 to 879 of the family's 1478-position model. The record is from RNAcentral.